ACAUGAAUCAAGAUCAAUUUUGCUCAGAAGCCAGGCGCCAUACUGCCUGUUAACUUUAGUUAACUUCAUGUGAAGAAUGCCGUGAAGCCCUGUUUGACGGACAAGAUCCUUUUUCAUGUCAUCAAAACUGUUAAAUAAACCGACGACACACCUUGGUUGGCAUCUUGAAUUUAUCCUCGUGUUUUUUGCAUUGGGUGACUUAUCUGUGAUCCUCUU
RNAcentral lists this long non-coding RNA (216 nucleotides) under Hordeum vulgare. RNAcentral describes it as "long non-coding RNA (HVUL_LNC016882)". The record is from RNAcentral. Lineage: Eukaryota; Viridiplantae; Streptophyta; Magnoliopsida; Poales; Poaceae.